CGGAUUAACGCUGGCGGCGUGCAUAACACAUGCAAGUCGAACGAUGAAACUUAAAUGAUCUCUUCGGAGUGAAUUUAAGUGGAUUAGUGGCGGACGGGUGAGUAACGCGUGAGUAACCUGCCUUAGAGAAGGGGAUAGCCUUUGGAAACGAAGAAUAAUACCCUAUGAAACCAUAACCUCGCAUGAGGCCUUGGUCAAAGAUUUAUCGCUCUAAGAUGGACUUGCGUCUGAUUAGUUAGUUGGUGGGGUAACGGCCUACCAAGACAGCGAUCAGUAGCCGGCUUGAGAGAGUGUACGGCCACAUUGGGACUGAGACACGGCCCAGACUCCUACGGGAGGCAGCAGUGGGGAAUUUUGCACAAUGGGGGAAACCCUGAUGCAGCGACGCCGCGUGAUUUAGAAGGCCUUCGGGUUGUAAAAAUCUUUUCUAUGGGAAGAAAAUGACAGUACCAUAGGAAUAAGGACCGGCUAAUUACGUGCCAGCAGCCGCGGUAAUACGUAAGGUCCGAGCGUUGUCUGGAAUCAUUGGGCGUAAAGGGUACGUAGGCGGGUAAGCAAGUUAGAAGUGAAAUCCUAUAGCUCAACUAUAGUAAGCUUUUAAAACUGCUCAUCUUGAGGUAUGGAAGGGAAAGUGGAAUUCCUAGUGUAGCGGUGAAAUGCGCAGAUAUUAGGAGGAAUACCGGUGGCGAAGGCGACUUUCUGGCCAUAACCUGACGCUGAGGUACGAAAGCGUGGGUAGCAAACAGGAUUAGAUACCCUGGUAGUCCACGCCGUAAACGAUGAGUGUUAGGUGUCUGGAGUAAAUCUGGGUGCCGCAGCUAACGCAUUAAACACUCCGCCUGGGGAGUACGCGCGCAAGCGGA
RNAcentral lists this ribosomal RNA (863 nucleotides) under uncultured Clostridia bacterium. RNAcentral describes it as "bacterial SSU rRNA". It matches the Rfam family "Bacterial small subunit ribosomal RNA", at positions 26 to 896 of the family's 1533-position model. Lineage: Bacteria; Bacillati; Bacillota; Clostridia. The record is from RNAcentral.